This 799-nucleotide ribosomal RNA is filed under the name uncultured Glomus. RNAcentral describes it as "SSU rRNA". It matches the Rfam family "Eukaryotic small subunit ribosomal RNA", at positions 314 to 1114 of the family's 1831-position model. The record is from RNAcentral. Lineage: Eukaryota; Fungi; Glomeromycota; Glomeromycetes; Glomerales; Glomeraceae.
AUCAACUUUCGAUGGUAGGAUAGAGGCCUACCAUGGUGGUAACGGGUAACGGGGUGUUAGGGCACGACACCGGAGAGGGAGCCUGAGAAACGGCUACCACAUCCAAGGAUGGCAGCAGGCGCGCAAAUUACCCAAUCCCGACACGGGGAGGUAGUGACAAUAAAUAACAAUACGGGGUCCUUUCGGGUUUCGUAAUUGGAAUGAGUACAAUUUAAAUCUCUUAACGAGGAACAAUUGGAGAGCAAGUCUGGUGCCAGCAGCCGCGGUAAUUCCAGCUCCAAUAGCGUAUAUUAAAGUUGUUGCAGUUAAAAAGCUCGUAGUUGAAUUUCGGGAUCAUCAGGUUGGUCGUGCCUCUGGUAUGUACUGAUUUCGAUGGUCCCUCCUUCUUGAAGAGCCGUAAUGCCAUUAAUUUGGUGUUGCGGGGAAUCAGGACUGUUACUUUGAAAAAAUUAGAGUGUUUAAAGCAGGCAAUCGCUUGAAUACAUUAGCAUGGAAUAAUGAAAUAGGACGUUCGAUCCUAUUUUGUUGGUUUCUAGGAUUGACGUAAUGAUUAAUAGGGAUAGUUGGGGGCAUUAGUAUUCAAUUGUCAGAGGUGAAAUUCUUGGAUUUAUUGAAGACUAACUACUGCGAAAGCAUUUGCCAAGGAUGUUUUCAUUAAUCAAGAACGAAAGUUAGGGGAUCGAAGACGAUCAGAUACCGUCGUAGUCUUAACCAUAAACUAUGCCGACUAGGGAUCGGAUGAUGUUAAUUUUUUAAUGACUCAUUCGGCGCCUUACGGGAAACCAAAGUGUUUGGGUUC